Molecule: ribosomal RNA, 489 nt
Filed under: uncultured bacterium
Lineage: Bacteria
Description: bacterial SSU rRNA
Rfam family: Bacterial small subunit ribosomal RNA
Source: RNAcentral
CGGCGUUGCUUCAAACAUGCAAGUCGAACGGAGUUAAUUUUUGAAGUUUUUGCUUUUAGAAUUAACCUUUAGUGGCGGACUGGUGAGUUAACGCGUUGAGUAAUCUGCCUAUCACAGGGGGAUAACAGAGGGAAACUUCUGCUAAUACCGCAUAAGACCACAGGAUGGCAUCAUCAAGGGGUCAAAGGUUAGAUCUGGUGAUAGAUGAGCUUGCGUAUCAUUAGCUAGUUGGUGAGGGUAAAGGCCCACCAAGGCGACGAUGAUUAGCCGAUCUGAGAGGAUGACCGGCCACACUGGGACUGAGAUACGGCCCAGACUCCUACGGGAGGCAGCAGUGGGGAAUAUUGCACAAUGGGGGAAACCCUGAUGCAGCAACGCCGCGUGAAGGAUGACGGUUUUCGGAUUGUAAACUUCUGUUCUCGUUGACGAAGACAGUGACGGUAAACGAGGAGCAAGCCACGGCUAACUACGUGCCAGCAGCCGCGGUAA